RNAcentral lists this ribosomal RNA (209 nucleotides) under uncultured bacterium. RNAcentral's name for it is "partial 16S ribosomal RNA". It matches the Rfam family "Bacterial small subunit ribosomal RNA", at positions 568 to 776 of the family's 1533-position model. The record is from RNAcentral.
UGCGUAGGCGGCGCGGUAAGUCGGGUGUGAAAUCUCGGGGCUUAACUCCGAAACUGCAUUCGAUACUGCCGUGAUUGAGGACUGGAGAGGAGACUGGAAUUUACGGUGCAGCGGUGAAAUGCGUAGAUAUCGUAAGGAAGACCAGUGGCGAAGGCGGGUCUCUGGACAGUUCCUGACGCUGAGGCACGAAGGCCAGGGGAGGCAAAACG